Molecule: ribosomal RNA, 251 nt
Filed under: uncultured prokaryote
Description: partial 16S rRNA
Rfam family: Bacterial small subunit ribosomal RNA
Source: RNAcentral
ACGGGGGGUGCAAGCGUUGUUCGGAAUUAUUGGGCGUAAAGAGCGUGUAGGCGGCAGGAUGUGUCAGAUGUGAAAGCCCUGAGCUCAACUUAGGAAGUGCAGUUGAAACUGUCAGACUUGAGUAGGGAAGAGGAAGGUGGAAUUCCUGGUGUAGAGGUGAAAUUCGUAGAUAUCAUGAGGAACACCGGUGGCGAAGGCAGCUUCCUGGCGCUAUUCUGACGCUGAGACGCGAGAGUGUGGGUAUCAAACAG